CCGCGUGGAUGAAGAAGGUCUUCGGAUCGUAAAAUCCUGUUGUUGAAGAAGAACGGUUGUGAGAGUAACUGCUCAUAGCGUGACGGUAAUCAACCAGAAAGUCACGGCUAACUACGUGCCAGCAGCCGCGGUAAUACGUAGGUGGCAAGCGUUGUCCGGAUUUAUUGGGCGUAAAGGGAGCGCAGGCGGUCUUUUAAGUCUGAAUGUGAAAGCCCUCAGCUUAACUGAGGAAGAGCAUCGGAAACUGAGAGACUUGAGUGCAGAAGAGGAGAGUGGAACUCCAUGUGUAGCG
This 292-nucleotide ribosomal RNA is filed under the name uncultured Lactobacillus sp. RNAcentral describes it as "partial 16S ribosomal RNA". It matches the Rfam family "Bacterial small subunit ribosomal RNA", at positions 397 to 680 of the family's 1533-position model. Lineage: Bacteria; Bacillati; Bacillota; Bacilli; Lactobacillales; Lactobacillaceae. The record is from RNAcentral.